UUAACCUAAACCUUUCUCUAAGUCUAACACCAUUAUUUAUAUUAUUUACUUAUAUCUGGCUUUAUCAAUUUUGUAGACACACACACACAUACGUAGGCGCACACAUACACACACACACGUGUACUUAAGGAUAGAAAAAUCAGGCAAAGUAUUGGAUGUAACAACAUAAAGAGCAUGAAGAUGAUGAAGACCACAUCUACAGAAGUGGGUAGAAGCCUUAUGCCCGCAUCGACUUCGAGAAGCAUUGCCUAACGGUAGUACCACGGGGAUCAAUGGCACAAAAAAUAUAACUAAACAAGCCUUUACUAAAGGCUGAUAAAGGCAAACGAGGGCGUUCUGUUCUUUGGUGAGGUAACCUUACUUGAGUGCGAAAGAGUUUAGUCGGUGAGAGACCGACACAUGGUGGACAAAUGUCUAAUGGGAUAGGGCUGAUUUGAUGAUUCUGUUUGCUAAGAUUUGCUAUGGUCUUUCUAACAUUUGCCAUGAUACCUCUUUCUCCGUUAGAAAAAAUACACACAUACACUAGCUUUACCUUUUUAGUACUAAUUAUUCAACUAAUAUUUCUAUAUCUGAAUUGAUUUCAAUCUUUUCUUGUCUUAGAUAUUACUACCCUGGAAGAAACGUUUGCAAACCAUUUAACAACAGUGCAACAAUAUCGAAUUUAGCGAACACUUUAGCCAACCGUUUGCCAAUGAAGCCACUUAUUUCAUCACGCUUUGUCGUAGGCCAAGGAAUGCUCUGAAUUUUAAAACAGGUCAAAGCACAUGCAAGCUACAUAAAAUGUUUUCACUUGUCGAUUAUAGGGUUCAGGAUGUGUGCUCCAUAGUUUUUACUAUGGAUAUGUGAACAAUGCAAUCUCGUCCUCGCGACCGGUUACGGCUCUCCAGGAAUAGAGGUUGGCUGCUGUAGCUCUGGAGGCGUCCCUCCACCAAAAUGACAUAUCAAAAAAAUGACACCUUUUGAGAUCAUUUGAGACAAAAUAUCUCAUGAAAGUUUAAAGAUGAUUAUAAGAUCGAUUUUUCGAGACGCUUUUGAGCAAUUUUGAGUAUAGCAUUUCAGAAACUUGGGAGAUGAAAUUGAGCUGAAUUCAAUAUUAUCAACGUCAACAGCAACAAGGAGUUCUAGAAUUUUUACAGAGCAAAUAAAGAUUGUUACAGUUAUUACACGCAGAACCAGAUUCACCAUUACAGACACAUACUCGUACAAAAUAUUUUACUAUCCCUAUUUUUUCCGAUGAAUUACAUGCAUAUUUUAAACAAGUA
Nasonia vitripennis (jewel wasp) is the source of this 1262-nucleotide long non-coding RNA. RefSeq lists it as uncharacterized. The transcript has 2 exons. The record is from RefSeq and is a predicted model, not a curated record. Lineage: Eukaryota; Metazoa; Arthropoda; Insecta; Hymenoptera; Pteromalidae.